Molecule: ribosomal RNA, 253 nt
Filed under: uncultured bacterium
Lineage: Bacteria
Description: partial 16S ribosomal RNA
Rfam family: Bacterial small subunit ribosomal RNA
Source: RNAcentral
UACAGAGGUCUCAAGCGUUGCUCGGAUUCAUUGGGCGUAAAGGGUGUGUAGGUGGCGCGCUAAGUCGGGUGUGAAAUUUCGGAGCUUAACUCCGAAACUGCAUUCGAUACUGGCGUGCUUGAGGACUGGAGAGGAGACUGGAAUUCAUGGUGUAGCAGUGAAAUGCGUAGAGAUCAUGAGGAAGACCAGUGGCGAAGGCGGGUCUCUGGACAGUUCCUGACACUGAGACACGAAGGCCAGGGGAGCAAACGGG